This 420-nucleotide ribosomal RNA is filed under the name Orthognathotermes sp. QH-2002. Its description in RNAcentral is "partial 12S ribosomal RNA". The record is from RNAcentral. Lineage: Eukaryota; Metazoa; Arthropoda; Insecta; Blattodea; Termitidae.
UAAACUAGGAUUAGAUACCCUAUUAUUUUAGAAUGUAAAUUGCUUGAGUAGUAUUAGUUAUGUUCUUGAAACUUAAAGAAUUUGGCGGUAUCUCAUUCCGUCUAGAGGAAUCUGUCUCGUUAUCGAUAGUCCACGUUGGACCUUACUUAGGUUUGUAUACCGCCGUUUAUUGAUUAUCUUUUUAGGGGUUUAAAAAUUUUCUGGUUUCUUUAUUUUGAUUUAUUUCAGGUCAAGGUGCAGCUUUUUUCUAAUGUGAAUGAUGGAUUACAUUGUUAUUUGUUUUGGAUUAUUUAUUUUAAUGUGGAUAUGAAAUUGGAUUUGGUUGUAAUUAUUUUUAGAAUGUUAUUAUGAUAACUGGUUCUGGGAUAUGUACACAUCGCCCGUCGCUCUCGUGUGAAUGAGAUAAGUCGUAACAUAGUA